AUUUGUAACCGCGCGCAAUGCGGUUGAUAGAGUCAGUGUUUGUUGUGCAAUAAUUUAUUUCAAUAUUUUCAAAUCGUGAUAGCUUUGAUUAAAUUCAAUUAAACAAUCGCAUGUGAAGUCACACAGUAAGAUAUUAUUAAGUAAAUUCGCAACACGUUCGCGUUAACGCAGUCUUUUAUUUUUUUCUUUUUUAUAUAUGUUUUUUUAAAUAUAUGUUUUCGUUAUUAGAGUCAGUGCAUCCUUCAAGAGGAUAAAGCCUCUCCAAAAGCUCAAGAAUAUAUCUCAAAGCCUCAACUUCUUCCUGUUCCUUGAGGAAGGUCUGACGAUGGCUCAGUAGCCAAAAAUAUUUUUUACAACUCUCAUUUCCUUCUAUUCUUUAAGGAGGAUCUCACUGUGCUACAAAAGCUAAGAAUAUUGUUCGCAGCCUCUAUUUUUGCCAUGUGUUUGACGCUAGACUAGAUUGCUUGAUGAUAGACUUGACUUCCGCUGACCCAGUGCAACGUUCUCCCCGUUUAAUGGUGAGUCGCAUGCACUUUUGUUCCUCCAGUCACUCAAUCAUGUCGUAGAAUGAAUGGUCCGAAUCGACACGGGUGACUAGUUGUAUUACGUAGAAUUUUUUGCGAGCAUAGUGACCGCGGAUAUUUAUUAUAUCCGCGAGUAGUAACAUUUUCUUGUCUAUAUCUAUUUAUUAGUUUAGGAUAGGUUUUCUUGCACGUCGCGUUUUUGAAUUUUGAUAACAAUACAUUGUGAAUAACAAAGAACUAGUAUGGAUAACGUAAUGUUGACAAUUGAUAUAUGUAUCUGUGAUUGAAAAGAUUAAAUAUUUAUAUGAGCAUGUAUUUGUAUGAAGAAAUCGG
Long non-coding RNA from Bombus impatiens (common eastern bumble bee), 857 nucleotides. RefSeq lists it as uncharacterized. The record is from RefSeq and is a predicted model, not a curated record. NCBI's taxonomy places the organism in Eukaryota, Metazoa, Arthropoda, Insecta, Hymenoptera, Apidae. The transcript is spliced from 4 exons.